Molecule: unclassified non-coding RNA, 225 nt
Filed under: plant metagenome
Description: partial contains small subunit ribosomal RNA, internal transcribed spacer 1, and 5.8S ribosomal RNA
Source: RNAcentral
UCUCCGUUGGUGAACCAGCGGAGGGAUCAUUACAGGACUCGCAAGACUCCUACAACCCUGUGAACUUAACUAUAAGCACGUUGCUUCGGCGGGUGUCUCGGAGGGGGUUCUUCCUCCCCGAGACGCUAAACCCGCCGGCAGCCUACUAUACUCUGUCUCUUUGCGUUGGCAUCUCGAGUACAAUCAAACAAGUUAAAACUUUCAACAACGGAUCUCUUGGUUCUG